This 2338-nucleotide ribosomal RNA is filed under the name Acinetobacter baumannii. Its description in RNAcentral is "partial 23S ribosomal RNA". It matches the Rfam family "Bacterial large subunit ribosomal RNA", at positions 605 to 2925 of the family's 2925-position model. Lineage: Bacteria; Pseudomonadati; Pseudomonadota; Gammaproteobacteria; Moraxellales; Moraxellaceae. The record is from RNAcentral.
CUUUUGUAUAAUGGGUCAGCGACUUAUAUUCAGUAGCGAGGUUAACCGUAUAGGGGAGCCGUAGAGAAAUCGAGUCUUAAUAGGGCGUUUAGUUGCUGGGUAUAGACCCGAAACCAGGCGAUCUAUCCAUGAGCAGGUUGAAGGUUGGGUAACACUAACUGGAGGACCGAACCCACUGUCGUUGAAAAGCCAGGGGAUGACUUGUGGAUAGGGGUGAAAGGCUAAUCAAGCCUGGUGAUAGCUGGUUCUCCCCGAAAGCUAUUUAGGUAGCGCCUCGGACGAAUACCAUAGGGGGUAGAGCACUGUUUCGGCUAGGGGGUCAUCCCGACUUACCAAACCGAUGCAAACUCCGAAUACCUAUGAGUACUAUCCGGGAGACAGACUGCGGGUGCUAACGUCCGUAGUCAAGAGGAAAACAAUCCAGACCGCCAGCUAAGGCCCCAAAAUCAUAGUUAAGUGGGAAACGAUGUGGGAAGGCAUAGACAGCUAGGAGGUUGGCUUAGAAGCAGCCACCCUUUAAAGAAAGCGUAAUAGCUCACUAGUCGAGUCGGCCUGCGCGGAAGAUGUAACGGGGCUAAAACUAUGUGCCGAAGCUGCGGAUGUAUACUUUGUAUACGUGGUAGGGGAGCGUUCUGUAAGCCGAUGAAGGUGUGUUGAGAAGCAUGCUGGAGGUAUCAGAAGUGCGAAUGCUGACGUGAGUAACGACAAAACGGGUGAAAAACCCGUUCGCCGAAAGACCAAGGGUUCCAGUCCAACGUUAAUCGGGGCUGGGUGAGUCGACCCCUAAGGCGAGGCCGAAAGGCGUAGUCGAUGGGAAAAUGGUUAAUAUUCCAUUACUUCUGUGUAAUGCGAUGAGAGGACGGAGAAGGCUAAAUCAGCCUGGCGUUGGUUGUCCAGGUGAAAGGAUGUAGGCAUGUAUCUUAGGCAAAUCCGGGGUACUCUAUGCUGAGAUCUGAUAGCAAGCUGUACUUGUACAGCGAAGUGGUUGAUGCCAUGCUUCCAGGAAAAGUCUCUAAGCUUCAGUUACACAGGAAUCGUACCCGAAACCGACACAGGUGGUCAGGUCGAGUAGACCAAGGCGCUUGAGAGAACUCUGCUGAAGGAACUAGGCAAAAUGGUACCGUAACUUCGGGAGAAGGUACGCUGUUGUUGGUGAUGGAACUCGCUUCCUGAGCUGACGACAGCCGCAGAAACCAGGCCGCUGCAACUGUUUAUUAAAAACAUAGCACUCUGCAAACACGAAAGUGGACGUAUAGGGUGUGAUGCCUGCCCGGUGCUGGAAGGUUAAUUGAUGGGGUUAGCGUAAGCGAAGCUCUUGAUCGAAGCCCCAGUAAACGGCGGCCGUAACUAUAACGGUCCUAAGGUAGCGAAAUUCCUUGUCGGGUAAGUUCCGACCUGCACGAAUGGCAUAAUGAUGGCGGCGCUGUCUCCAGCAGAGGCUCAGUGAAAUCGAAAUCGCUGUGAAGAUGCAGUGUACCCGCGGCUAGACGGAAAGACCCCGUGAACCUUUACUGCAGCUUGACACUGAACUUUGACCUUACUUGUGUAGGAUAGGUGGGAGGCUUUGAAGCUGGAACGCUAGUUCCAGUGGAGCCGUCCUUGAAAUACCACCCUGGUAAUGUUGAGGUUCUAACUCUGUCCCGUGAUCCGGGACGAGGACCGUGUCUGGUGGGUAGUUUGACUGGGGCGGUCUCCUCCUAAAGAGUAACGGAGGAGUACGAAGGUGCGCUCAGCGUGGUCGGAAAUCACGCGUAGAGUAUAAAGGCAAAAGCGCGCUUAACUGCGAGACCCACAAGUCGAGCAGGUACGAAAGUAGGUCUUAGUGAUCCGGUGGUUCUGUAUGGAAGGGCCAUCGCUCAACGGAUAAAAGGUACUCUGGGGAUAACAGGCUGAUACCGCCCAAGAGUUCAUAUCGACGGCGGUGUUUGGCACCUCGAUGUCGGCUCAUCUCAUCCUGGGGCUGAAGCAGGUCCCAAGGGUAUGGCUGUUCGCCAUUUAAAGAGGUACGCGAGCUGGGUUUAGAACGUCGUGAGACAGUUCGGUCCCUAUCUACCGUGGGCGCUGGAAAUUUGAGAGGAUCUGCUCCUAGUACGAGAGGACCAGAGUGGACGAACCUCUGGUGUACCGGUUGUGACGCCAGUCGCAUCGCCGGGUAGCUAUGUUCGGAAGGGAUAACCGCUGAAAGCAUCUAAGCGGGAAGCCUACCUCAAGAUAAGAUUUCCCUAGGACUUUAUGUCCUCUAAAGAGCCGUUCGAGACUAGGACGUUGAUAGGUUGGAUGUGGAAGCAUAGUGAUAUGUGAAGCUGACCAAUACUAAUUGCUCGUGAGGCUUGACUAU